RNAcentral lists this long non-coding RNA (7517 nucleotides) under Marmota monax (woodchuck). The stretch from base 3234 to 3302 matches the Rfam family "tRNA". Lineage: Eukaryota; Metazoa; Chordata; Mammalia; Rodentia; Sciuridae. The record is from RNAcentral.
GGGAACUCUUGGGAAAUACUCUUGGGUUCGAGAAAGCCCAGAUCAUGCAGGCACCCUGCCUUACCUCACAGCCGCCCAGAGAUAGGAGUAACCUGCCAAGCAUGUAAACAAGACUCCUCCCAAACUGAAACCUUAUCCCUGGCUUUGAUGUACCUCCCCUUAAAUAAAGAAUUGGGGCCUUUUUCAGUCCUUCAGUUCCAGUUGCUGUCAAGGCUAGAAGACCCAUCAGGUGCCCCACUUCCUAAAUCUAAUCUUUGGAUUUGUCUUUCUUACUGAUUAUUUCAGACUUUUUAUUUUCCCAGGCAGCUCACACCUCCUAGCAGGAACCUGGUCUUCUGUGGUUCUGUCUACACCAUCAACUAAGGAGGUGAAAGUCCUCUACAAUGAAAACUAUAGAACACUGAAGAGACAUUGAAAAAGAUCUCAGAAAAUGGAAAGACCUCCCAUGUUCAUGGAUAGGCAGAAUUAAUAUUGUUAAGCUGGUCAUUCUACCAAUCUCCAUCAAGAUACCAAUGGCAUUCUUCACAGAAUUAGACAAAACAGUCCUAAAAUUCAUUUGGAAGAAUAAAAUAACCAAAACAAUUCUAAGCCAAAAAAAGCAACGCUGGAGGCAACACAAUACCUCACUUCAAAUACUACAGAGCUAUAGUAACAGAAAUUGCAUGAUACCAGCAUAAAAACAGACACAUAGACCAAUGAUACAGAAUAAGACACAGAGACAAAUCCUAGACAUCUACAAUCAUCUGAUUCUUGACAAAGCUGCCAAAAAUAUAUCUUGAAGACAGCCCUUUUAGCAAAUGGUACCAGGAAAACUGGUUAUUCAUAGAUUCAGAAUGAGACUAGAUCAUUAUUCACCAUGUACAAAAUUCAACUCAAAAUAGAUCAAAGACCUAGGAAUUAGAUCAGAACUAUGCAACUUCUAGAAGAAAAUGUAGGGUCAACACUGCAGCAUAUAGGCACAGGAAACAACUUUCUCAACAGGACCCCUGAAGCUCAGGAAAUAAUGCCGAGAGUUAAUAAGUGAGAUAGCAUCAAAUUAAAAACAUUUAUGCACCAAAGGAAAACAAUAAGGAAUUUGAAGAGAGAACCUACAGAAUGGGAGAGAAUUUUUGCUAGCUAUUCUUCUGGCAGAGAAUUAAUAUUUAGAAUAUAUAAAAUCUUAACACCAAAAAACCCAAACAAACAACCCUAUUAAGCCUAUAAAUAAAUGGACAAAUGAACUAAACAGAUGCUUCUCAAAAGAAGAAAUACAAAUGGCCAACAAAUAUAUGAAAAAAAUGUUCAAACCAUUAGCAAUGAGGGAAAUUCAAGUCAAAACUACACUGAGAUUGCCAGGCACUUCUGUAAUCCCAGGGGCUUGGGGGCUGAGACAGGAGGAUCACAAGUUUAAAGCCAGCCUCAGCAAAAGUGAGGCCCUAAACAACUCAGUGAGACUCUGUUUUUAAAUAAAAUGCAAAAUAGGGCUGGGGACGAGGCUCAGUGAUUGAGUACCCCUGGGUUCAAUCCCUGGUACCCCCUCCAAAAAAAAAAAAAAACUACACUGAGAUUUCAUCUCACACAGUCAGAAUGGCAGUCAUCAAGAAUAUCAAGAAAACAAAUAAUAAUAAAUGCUGGAAAGGAUAUAGAGAAAAAGGAACAUUUUUACACUGUUGGUGGGAUUGUAAAUGAGUACAACCACUGUGGAAAUCAACAUGGAAGUUCUUCAAAAGGCCAGGCAUGGAACCACUAUGUGACCCAGCUGUAAUACUCUUCAGUAUUUAUCCUAACGAAUGAAAGUCAUCAUACUAGAGCAAUACAUGCACACUCAUGUUUAUAGCAGCACUUUCACAAUAGUCAAACUAUGGAUUCAGCCUAUGUGUCCAUCAAAAUAUGACUACUUAAUGUGGUAUAUAUAGACAAUGGAUUAUAUAUCAUCUUGAAGCCAUUAACAGUGAUGUAUUAGGGCCAGUAUGCAAGUACUGAAAGUUAAAUCAUUACAAACUUGUGAGUCAGUUGAUGUCACAUUGGUCCCUUGAAAUUGACCACCAUAGGAGUAUUUAAGCAUAGAAAUCUGCAGUUACUAUACAUCAUGGCUUCUUCCUCCCAUGCAAGUUUGUUGUAGAACAUUUGCCAGCCCACCAUUGAAUGUAUAUCUGUCUAGCACGUAGAUACGAAAAGAUCUAAAGAAAAAUGUGGAAAUGACUAUACCAAACUCAGAAUAUUGGUUACCACUUGUCUUACUUCAAUUUCUGUUACUAUAACUGAAUACUAUAGACUGGAUAAUUUAUAAAGAAUAUAUGUUUAUUUAGCUCACAGUUGUGAGGCUGGGAAGUCCAAGAGCAUGGCACAGGUAUAUACUCAGCAUCUGGUGAGAGUCUUUCUUUCUGCAUCAUAACAUGGUAGAGGGCAUCACCUGGUGGAACAGAGCCACCAAGUCAGAAAGUGAUUGCUUUCUCUCUCUCAGUAACCCAUUAAUCCAUAUGUCAGUGAAUUCACUAAUGUGGGCAGUGCCAUCAUGACGCAAUCACCUCCCCAAAGGCUCACCUCCAAAUACCAUUAAAAUUUGAAUUGGGAGAUUGAGUUUCCAACACAUGAAAUUUGGGGGAUAGAUGCAAACCAUAGUGCCACUGGAAGGGACAUAAUUUCUGAGGAACACACAGGGCUUCUGGGGUUAAUCAUUUCUCCUCCGUGGACAGAGCAGUACAUGCAGUUGUACAAAAGACCACAAACUCACAUUUUUGAAAUGUGUGUUUGUCACUUAUUAGAGAUCUGUAUGCAGAAAGAAAUGAGGGGACCAACCAGUAAGUCCAGGGACCAGAACAUCUCAAGGCUGGACAUCAGUUUCUUCAUUUAACCACCUACAAUUCCUUCCCCUAACUAUACAUACCUCUUCCUAGAACUGCUUUGGGAUCCACACAACAGGGAGGGCCUUGUGCUCAUCAUUAACAAACUUCAAAGGGCCAGAACAUUUGAGAAUAUAUUCAAACAUAUAUAUAUCAACAAGGGAAGUCACACUAUUCAAUCAGAAGAAGGCAAAGGAUGAAAGGGUCAUGAUGGUUGUAGAUAAAGAUUUUGUUAUUGUUAUCAGCAUUUUAACCUUUAAGCUGAGUUUUAUUAUGUAUAAAGGGUUGGUUUCUUCUUUAGCAUGCAGUGUUUGUUUUACUUGUUAUUUUUUACUCUGUAAAUAUAAAUUUUCAUACACUACUUUGCUACGUUUCACAAUUAAUUAAAUGUAAAAAUUACUAUGAGGGGCUGGGGUUGUGGCUCAGCGGUAGAGCACUUGUCUAGCACGUGCAAGGCGCUGGGUUCGAUCCUCAACACCACAUAAAAAUAAAUAAAUAAAAUAAAGUUAUUGUGUCCAACUACAACUAAGUAAAAAGUUUUUUUAAAAAAUUAGUAUGAGGGCUGAGUCUGUGGCUCAGUGGUAGCACACUUGCCUGGCAUGUGUGAGGCACUGGGUUCGAUUUUCAGCACCACAUAUAAAUAAAUAAAGGUCUAUCAACAACUAAAAAAAAUACCUUUGUAAAAAUUAGUAUGAGAGGAAAUAAUAUUAUAUAUGCUAUACUAUAUUUCACAAUACAUUUAAAAAGAAUAAAUUUUAUAAAAAUUUUAUUUUGUACAAUAAAUGUCUGCACUAUUGGCUCACUAAAAAAAUUCCUAGACUGAAAUUAGAAAAUCAAACCAUCUUGCAGCUAAGGCCUUAACCCUGUGGGAGAGUGCUAAAAGCUUUCUGAGGUCUUUGCUGAUUUUAAAGCAGUAGAAAACUGGGACAGAAGACUGAAUUUGAAAGAGUUCAAUAGGAUUCUCUGAAUGUUCUGGGCAGAUAUCCAGGAUGAAGGCCGGAGGUGGAGAGGAGAACACUGUAUUGUUCACAUUUGUUGAUAAGAAUGUCUUAAAAAGUGAAACUUCUUCCUCGAAGCAGAAGGGAUUCUGAUAGGGUCUAAAUGUUUACCAGGAAUGUGAUUGGCUCAGGCAAAAUGGAUAGCUAUGUAGAAAGAGCCCUUAAUCUAUAAUCAAGGUGGAAAGGACAGCACUUAAGGGUAAUGUUUUCAUGACAAUUGCUAAAAUUUCAGAGCAGCACAUGGAUUCUUUUUUGUUGUUGUUGUUCUGGAGACUGAACCCAGGGCAAGCUAGCAUAUGUUCUACCACUGAGCUAAACCCUCAGUGCUCCUCUUUCUCUUUUAAUUGUAGGAAAAUAUUAACUUUUCACAGUACCCAUAAAGAACCUCUACCUGAUAAUAUGGAAGCUAAAAUGGGUUUUGGUAAUGUGGGGAGACAGAAAGAGACCAGAAAAUGGAACUAGGCUGAUGCCCCCUAAGUAGUCUCAGAUAAGACCACAUCAGGGCAGCCAGCCUGCGAAGGACCAGGGUCUGGAUAAUGGUGACUUCUGACAGCAUACUGGGAGGCUGUGACCUGGGUUCUGGUCCACGUUUUCUGCUGGUCUGAAAUAAAUACUAAUCCUCAGAUGUGGAAAGCUCACCUGAAAAUGCCCUUUACCAAAUUUUAUUAUUAUUUUGCUGUUGUAAAUGGGAUGUUUUCCACCAGUAUGUCAUCUAAAUGUUAAGGAUAUUUUUGAGGGUUGCCUUUAAAUAUUUUGAGCAAUAGGCUCACAGACUUGGAGCUCAGAAUUUAUAAAAUAAACAAAAUAGGGAGGAAACCGGAUGAUGACAAGAGGUUUUCCUGUCACACAGUAAGGCAAUAAUACAGUGUUCCGCACUCCCCCCCCCACCAGCUAGCAGGAAAGAAUGAAUGCAUUCCCUUAAAAAUCAAGAACAACGCAAGAAAGUUCACUCUAUUUCCAUUCAACAUUGUAUAGGAAUUUUAGCCAGUGCAGUAAGGAAAAAGACACAUAAAAGUAUACAGAUGGGAAAGGAAAUUGUAAAAUGUUAUGUUAAAAUGACUUAGAAAUUGUAAGGAAUCUAUAAAGACUCCUACUCUGUAAAUGUAAAUGAGUUUGGCAAGGUCAUUGGAUAAAAGGCCAAAAUACAAAAAUCAAUGGCAACAGUCAAAGGUAGCAACAAGCCAUUGGAAAUUGAAGUUAAAAGCCAUUUAUGACAGCAUCAAAAGCAUGAAAUGCUUAGUCGUAAAUCUAACGCAAUAUGUGGAAGACCUGUAUGUGAAAAUUCACAGUAUAGUUGGAAUAAAUUAAAGAAGACCUAAAUAGAUGGGAAGAUAUACCAUUGCUCAUGGAAUUAUUAAGAUAUUAAAUAUCAAAUGCACUUAGAUUGAAUGUGAUUCCACUGAACAUUCCAGAAACUGUCAAACUGAUUCUAAAAAUUGGAAAGGAAUGCAAAGGAUCUAAACUAGACAAGACAAUUUUGAGAAAGAAGUUGGAAGAUGUAUCAUGCUAAAUUUUUAAAUUAUAAUAAAUCUUUUAAAAGCUAAUGUAAUUUGACAGAAUGGUAUAGUGUAAAUAUAGACACACAGAUCAACUGAACAGAAUAGAAUUUGUAAGUGGCCCAUUUGUUUUUGACAAACGGACAAUGAAAUUGAAUAGAAAAAAGGUGUUUUUCAAUGAUGUUUCUGGAACAAAUGGACAUUUAUAUAGAAAAACAAUAAAACCUAUUAUUUCUUACACAAUACACAAAAAAUUGAUCAAAGCAUGUUUAAACCUUAGAAAAUAUGAUUCAAACCCUAUGAAAUUAUUAGUAGAAGGCCUAAGAGAAAAACCUUGGUGAUCUUGGGGUAAGAUUUCUUAGAAUGAAGAAAAAUAGAAAUUAUAAAAGAAAAACGAGGGAAUGGGAUUAUGGCUCAGCAGUAGAGUGCUCACCUAACUUGUGCUAGGGGCUGGGUUCAAUCCUCAGCACCACAUAAAAAUAAAUAAAUAAAAUAAAGGUAUUGUGUCCAACUACAACUAAAAAAAAUAUUAAAAAAAGAAAAAAACUUGAAAGACUGAACUUUAUCAAAAUUAAGUACUGCUACUUUUCAAAACACACUGUUAUGAAAAUAAAGGAAGCUGUAGAUUGUGGGAAAUUAUUUUCAAUGUAUAUAUAUGACAAAGGCCUUAUAUGUAGAAUAUAGAUACAACUCCUGUUCAAUAAAAAGAUAUAAUUUCCAAAUAUAAACUAAAGAUUUGAAGAUACUCCACUAAAGAAGAUAUGAAAGUAUCUAGCAAGCACACGAGAAGCUGCUUAGCAUCAUUUGUCAUCAGAGAAGUGCAAAUUUAAACCACAAUGAAAUACUAUCUUAUAUCCUCUAUCCUGGCUUAAAAAAAAAAAUAGUUGAUGCCCUUUCCCCUGGUCAGUAGUCCAGAAAGCACGUGAAACUUAGAAUUCCUGUAAAAGAUGUAAACCAGCAAGAGUUCAUCAGAGUUCUGGCAGCCUUUCUUUAAAAAUCCAGGAAGCUGAAGGUCCUCGAGUGGGUGGACACAGUCCAGCUGGCCAAGCACAAACAACUUGUUCCCUAUAAUAAGAAUUGGUUCUUCACAUCAGCUGUUUCCAUAUCAGGGCACCUGGACCUCUGGGGGUGGUGCAAGAGUUGGCUCCAUGACUACAUUCUAAAGGAAAGAUCAGAGAAAUGGCAUCACGCCCAGCCACUUCAGCCAAGUCAUCAAGAAUGUGGCCUGGUCGUGAUGGCUGCACAACAAUGUGAAUGUACUCAAAACUACUGCAUUGUAUGCUUCAAAAUGGUUAAGAUGGUAAAUGUUAUGUUUUGUGUUUUUUGUGUAUUUUACCACAAGGAAAAAAAAAGUAGAUACAUCAGUGGAACAAAACAGUCUAUAAAUAGAUUGCAGGCAUAUGGUCUACUGGUUUUCAAAAAAGUAUUGUAAUGGAAUAAAAAGAAGAGAGAGUAAGAGUGUGUGUGUGUGUGUGUGUGUGUGUGCUUUUUUCAGAAAGAAAUAUAGCAUGAAACUCACUGAGCUGCUUUGUGCAAGCUGUAUGACAUUGGCCUUCACCAUUUCUAAGAACAAUUCAUUUAUGAAGCCUAUAUGCCAGGUUCCAGGUCUGAUAGUUUACUUGAAUUCUUUAAUUUUUGCAACAACCUUAGGAGAUAGGAUUUAUUUUACAAAUACUAAUACUGAGCCUCGGAGAUCUUAGGUACCCAUGCUGGUGACUGGGAGAGCUGUUUGAAAGCUCCUUUAUCAAUUCCAGAACAAGUGCACUUGGCCUUUACCUCUAAGUUGCAUCUUUCUGUGUAAGGAGUUUUGGAGAGGUUCCUAUCUUCUACCAUUGUAACCCAAGGACCACUUUCCUUGUCCUGAUUCUAAGCCUAAGGUGAAGAACUUGUUUUCUCUCCUGCUGCUCUAGAGGAGGCAAAGUGAGGCAGUGCAGAAAGUCCUAUGAACAAAUACCCCGAGUUGCCAUUUGAGAGCAGGUGGCCUUGUGCAAAUCACUGUGACUUCAUGGAUGAAAAAGUUGCCAAUUUAAAUCAGCUCCAAGUUUCCUUUCUGUUCUAGGAUUCUAAGAUAUGACAAAGCUAAGAUAGGCUGAAAAUAAAUUUUCUCAGAAGGCUAAGUGUAGUAAUAUUGUUUUUUGUGCUAAAUACAAGUGUGUGUAUGCAUUUCACAUGUACUCCAUACAAGGACUAAUAUAAACUCA